AAAUAUAUCCAACAGAAACCUCGUCUGGAAUGUGGGUCUCAUGAACGACUUAACGUAGCAACAUACCACGCAAGCCUCAUGACUAUCCACUCUAACACUUAUGUGUACACUCAAGCCUGGGUAGUGGGCUUAUCUCUCAUAGAACAGUCCCAACCCAACAAACAAACAACCCACAGAUACAACAAGCAUAUGUACAUGAAUGCAAUAAGGUAAAGCAGGUAAAUGCUGAAAAUAAAUAAUUGUACAAAACAAUAAACACCCAACAAACAAGAACCCUACAAAAGCUAGGAGGGACUCGCUUAGGGAAACCAGUUCCCCAGCAGAGUCGCCAGCUGUCGCAACCCGAAAAAUACGGUGCGAAAAAACAACCGGCGAAAGAAAAUGACAGAAGAGUCGCCACCGUGCGUUAUUUAUCCCAAAGGAGGGAAAGGAAACGCUCAAAGUAAACCGGAGAAAGGAAAGGAAAAGACAAGGUCUCGCAACCAAAUCUUGAGUUCGGGAGUCGAUUAUGCGAAGGGAAGGUAUUAGCACCCCUACGCAUCCGUAGUACUCUACGGGAUCCACUCUUGUUUGUUUCUUGUCUAAAGGGUGUAUGUUUAUCUAAUGCACUAUUUACUAAAAGGGGCAAGAGAAAAAUGACUCGCACAGAUAUCACGUCCACUGCAUACGUAUCUCAUCUGAAUAUGAGAAUCAGAGUCUUCGUAGCUCGGCUACCUAGGGGUUAAGGAUAAGUGUGCUCGCUAAGACGUCGCGUCUUAUGCCUACGUAUCUCAU
RNAcentral lists this long non-coding RNA (774 nucleotides) under Lathyrus oleraceus (garden pea). RNAcentral's name for it is "Pisum sativum (pea) long non-coding RNA (PSAT_LNC041351)". Lineage: Eukaryota; Viridiplantae; Streptophyta; Magnoliopsida; Fabales; Fabaceae. The record is from RNAcentral.